This 118-nucleotide ribosomal RNA is filed under the name Saimiri boliviensis boliviensis (Bolivian squirrel monkey). Lineage: Eukaryota; Metazoa; Chordata; Mammalia; Primates; Cebidae. The record is from RNAcentral.
GUCUACAGCCAUACCCUCCUGAACAGGCCUGAUCUUGUCUGAUCUCAGAAGCCAAGCAGGGUCAGGCCUGGUUAGUACUUAGAUGGGAGACAAAAAGAUAACAUCAUUUCUACAUACG